RNAcentral lists this ribosomal RNA (508 nucleotides) under uncultured bacterium. Its description in RNAcentral is "partial 16S ribosomal RNA". It matches the Rfam family "Bacterial small subunit ribosomal RNA", at positions 28 to 507 of the family's 1533-position model. The record is from RNAcentral.
GACGAACGCUGGCGGCGUGCCUAAUACAUGCAAGUCGAACGCUUCUUUCCUCCCGAGUGCUUGCACUCAAUUGGAAAGCGGAGUGGCGGACGGGUGAGUAACACGUGGGUAACCUACCCAUCAGAGGGGGAUAACACUUGGAAACAGGUGCUAAUACCGCAUAACAGUUUAUGCCGCAUGGCAUAAGAGUGAAUGGCGCUUUCGGGUGUCGCUGAUGGAUGGACCCGCGGUGCAUUAGCUAGUUGGUGAGGUAACGGCUCACCAAGGCCACGAUGCAUAGCCGACCGGAGAGGGUGAUCGGCCACACUGGGACUGAGACAGGGCCCAGACUCCUACGGGAGGCAGCAGUAGGGAAUCUUCGGCAAUGGACGAAAGUCUGACCGAGCAACGCCGCGUGAGUGAAGAAGGUUUUCGGAUCGUAAAACUCUGUUGUUAGAGAAGAACAAGGACGUUAGUAACUGAACGUCCCCUGACGGUAUCUAACCAGAAAGCCACGGCUAACUACGUG